Molecule: ribosomal RNA, 253 nt
Filed under: uncultured bacterium
Lineage: Bacteria
Description: partial 16S ribosomal RNA
Rfam family: Bacterial small subunit ribosomal RNA
Source: RNAcentral
UACGUAGGGUGCGAGCGUUAAUCGGAAUUACUGGGCGUAAAGCGUGCGCAGGCGGUUCGUUGUGUCGGCGGUGAAAGCCCCGGGCUCAACCUGGGAAUGGCCGUUGAAACUGGCGAACUGGAGUGUGGCAGAGGGGGGUGGAAUUCCGCGUGUAGCAGUGAAAUGCGUAGAGAUGCGGAGGAACACCGAUGGCGAAGGCAGCCCCCUGGGCUGACACUGACGCUCAGGCACGAAAGCGUGGGGAGCGAACAGG